This is a non-coding RNA of Caretta caretta (loggerhead turtle), 1178 nucleotides long. Lineage: Eukaryota; Metazoa; Chordata; Testudines; Cheloniidae. The record is from RefSeq and is a predicted model, not a curated record.
CUGGCAUCAGCACUGCUGAGCCUCUUCACUGGCCUGUCAAGGGUCAUCAGCUGUACAAUGAGCCCAUGAAAAGAACCAAGGGGAUACGCCUAUUGAGUCAGCAAGACAUGCAGGGGUAUGCCUGUGUACUGAGACCUCCAGGGCUUUUCCAUGCCAUGUGCUGUGAAGCUUGUGUUUGGGACACAGGAAGUACAAGCCACAAGGCAAAGGGAAUAGAAAGGGCAGCUGCAUCAUCUUCAUUUUCUCUUCAAUCCCUCUUCCUACCUCUGGAGCAACUUCUCUGCAAACUGAAGCCUUGAACAAAGGACUGAAUGACCCAUCCAAGCUGUGGAUGUGUUGCAGACGGACUUUCAAGCCAGGAACUCACCAAAACUGUGAAGAACCCGAUAUAUAGAUUUCUGAAUGUAUCUGACCUUUCCUUCUUUCCUUUAGUUUAGAGGCUAAAGGAUUGGCUGGCAGCCUGGUAUUUUGGGGUUUCCCAUUUCCAAACCUGAUGUGUUUUCCCAGCUGGAACAAGGGGAAGAGCCAUGGGUCUCAGAGCUCCAGGGUUCAGAGGAAAGACAGACCCUGAGAGCUCCCUGCAAAGCAGGUGAUGCGAUGGCAUGUGAGAAAGAGGAGCAGAAUUCUCAGCAGGAAGAUGCUGGGCAAGUGGAUAAACACAGAGCAUUAUCACAGAGAUCGGAAAGGAACGUGUCCAGGAGUCAUGAGAGGCCCUAUGAAUGCCGUGAGUGUGAGAACCUUCAAUCGCAGCUCAAACCUUGUUACUCAUCAGAGAACCACACAGGGGAGAGGCCCUAUGAAUGCUGUGAGUGUGGGAAAACCUUCUCUUGGCACUCAGCCCAUGUUAGCCAUCCAAGAAUCUGCACAGGAGAUCAACACCAUAAAAACCUCUAGGGCUAUCCGUACUUUUUUUUCUUUAAUACUUUUCCUGAUUCCCACAUAGUAACUUUUAAAGUUGUUUGAACUGUUUGCAGCACCGUUAUCCCUCAGCGUGUCCAAAUGAGUGGCCCAUUUUUGCCUUUUGCAGUUCACCCUGUUUUGAGGUGGACCCAUUUGUCCUUCCUAUCGACUCCAUUGUCUCAUGAAUAAUUUGAGUGUGCCCUUCCUAUCAGGAACCAGGGAGCAUCACAUCUAUACCAUUCCUCCUAUUGCAAAAUUAUUGUUCGGAAUCACCAAUG